AGUGAACGCUGGCGGCGUGCCUAAUACAUGCAAGUCGAACGGACAAGUAAGAGCUUGCUCUUAUGAGUUAGUGGCGCACGGGUGAGUAAUGUAUAGCUAAUCUGCCCUACACUAGAGGACAACAGUUGGAAACGACUGCUAAUACUCUAUACACCUCUCUAGCAUAAGUUAGAUAGGGAAAGUUUUUCGGUGUAGGAUGAGGCUAUAUUGUAUCAGCUAGUUGGUGAGGUAAUGGCUCACCAAGGCUAUGACGCAUAACUGGUCUGAGAGGAUGAUCAGUCACACUGGAACUGAGACACGGUCCAGACUCCUACGGGAGGCAGCAGUAGGGAAUAUUGCUCAAUGGGGGAAACCCUGAAGCAGCAACGCCGCGUGGAGGAUGACACUUUUCGGAGCGUAAACUCCUUUUGUUAGGGAAGAACAAUGACGUACCUAACGAAUAGGCACCGCA
Molecule: ribosomal RNA, 451 nt
Filed under: Campylobacter concisus
Lineage: Bacteria; Pseudomonadati; Campylobacterota; Epsilonproteobacteria; Campylobacterales; Campylobacteraceae
Description: bacterial SSU rRNA
Rfam family: Bacterial small subunit ribosomal RNA
Source: RNAcentral